Molecule: long non-coding RNA, 252 nt
Organism: Solanum tuberosum (potato)
Lineage: Eukaryota; Viridiplantae; Streptophyta; Magnoliopsida; Solanales; Solanaceae
Exons: 3
Source: RefSeq, a predicted model, not a curated record
AUUUUAGAGUUGGGACAGCAGGGGUUUGAAUAUAUUUGAAGGUUUUGAGGUGAAUUACGAACCUAAGAUCGAGUAUCGAGGGAGUUAUGAGUUAAAGUCUUUAGGCCACCUGAAUUUAGCGAAAAAGUUCCUGACAGAUGACCGAGUAGGCCUCUAUAUCAGCAGGAUUGACUUUUAUCCGAUUGGUCAGCCCCUUUCCUCUGGAGCUGCCAGAGUUGGGAGGUUUGUUACCUUUUGUUGUAUAUAUCUUUA